ACCUGUGUAGUUCAGUUGGUAGAGCACAAGACUCUUGAUCUUGGGGUUGUGAGUUUGAGCCCCACAAUGAGUA
This 73-nucleotide transfer RNA is filed under the name Ailuropoda melanoleuca (giant panda). It matches the Rfam family "tRNA". Rfam says of the family: Transfer RNA (tRNA) molecules are approximately 80 nucleotides in length. Their secondary structure includes four short double-helical elements and three loops (D, anti-codon, and T loops). Lineage: Eukaryota; Metazoa; Chordata; Mammalia; Carnivora; Ursidae. The record is from Rfam by way of RNAcentral.